ACUCCUACGGGAGGCAGCAGUGGGGAAUUUUGGACACUGGGGGCAACCCUGAUCCAGCAAUGCCGCGUGAGUGAAGAAGGCCUUCGGGUUGUAAAGCUCUUUUGUCAGGGAAGAAACGGUGGUGGCGAAUAACUACUACUAAUGACGGUACCUGAAGAAUAAGCACCGGCUAACUACGUGCCAGCAGCCGCGGUAAUACGUAGGGUGCAAGCGUUAAUCGGAAUUACUGGGCGUAAAGCGUGCGCAGGUGGUUGUGUAAGUCAGAUGUGAAAUCCCCGGGCUCAACCUGGGAAUUGCAUUUGAGACUGCACGGCUAGAGUGUGUCAGAGGGGGGUAGAAUUCCACGUGUAGCAGUGAAAUGCGUAGAUAUGUGGAGGAAUACCGAUGGCGAAGGCAGCCCCCUGGGAUAACACUGACGCUCAUGCACGAAAGCGUGGGGAGCAAACAGGAUUAGAAACCCGGGUAGUCCCAUGA
This 474-nucleotide ribosomal RNA is filed under the name uncultured organism. Its description in RNAcentral is "partial 16S ribosomal RNA". It matches the Rfam family "Bacterial small subunit ribosomal RNA", at positions 335 to 800 of the family's 1533-position model. The record is from RNAcentral.